GCCCUCUCCAACUAGACACUUCUUCGUGACAUCAAAAUUCAGCAUAUUUAAUGUGUCAUAAACAGCCUUUUCCCUUCUAACCAUGUUCAUCCAUUUUGUGAGGUGAAAUCCGAUAGACGUCAAAGCUUUAUCUCGAUGACGUAAUCCAACAUCUAGAGUUGUCUCUAAUUCAGAAAGCCUCGACACAACUUCUCGAGUUAUUUGCCUCCUCUUGGUCAUGUCUUCUGGGACAGGAUAGCAAUUGGCACCAAACGCCUCACAAAUUUUCAGUAUUUUUGAUCUCGCUUGCUCACCUGAAAAGAACACAACGAAGACUAUUUUCUCGACCAUUUCAUUUGAAGAAGGAUCCAAGAUUUCCUCAUCAGCAACUCCCUGGUGGAAAAGCAUAUUGCCCCUCGUUGCACGAAAUAGCAUUCUCUCAAAU
Molecule: unclassified non-coding RNA, 424 nt
Filed under: Hevea brasiliensis (rubber tree)
Lineage: Eukaryota; Viridiplantae; Streptophyta; Magnoliopsida; Malpighiales; Euphorbiaceae
Source: RNAcentral